UCUACUUCCUCAAUGUUGUUGUUGAGGUCGUGGAGAAGCGAAAGACUGUUAUUGGCGAGCAUGGUGUCGUCCACUUAGAGUAAGAAAAUGACGAAGAAGGAGCCACAACUUAGGCGGUAGACAUUGCAAUUGGCCGUGGAGUUUUCGAAUCCCAUUGUAAUAAAGUUUUGUUGGACGGCAAGGAUAAGGAUGAGAUGGAUUAAUUGGAUCCGAACAACCGGGGAAAAAGUUUCGUUGUAGUCCAGCCCCAAAAUUUGAUUGAACUCUCAGGCGACAAGGCGGGCAAUGUGGCCGUCGCUCUUGAAUUUGAGUUUGAAGGUGAUUGGCCGCCAAUUGGGAGGGAGGUCGGUAAAGACCCAAGUGCCAUUGGCCGCAUGAGAAUUGAGCUCAUUGGCAAUGGCAGCCUUCCAAUAGGCGGAUUUGGGAUAAGUUAGAGCAUGUUUGUAUGAGAUGGACUCUAGCGGAAUAUGAUUCAAUGUAUACAGUGCCCAUUUUUUCGUAGGAAGAACAGGGGGCCAUCGAGGUAUCAAAACGGCAAGGUCAUAAUUUUCAUUGGGAUUGCGAGGAGGGAGAACUCCCUUCGUUGAUUAGGAGGUAUGGCGGGAGAGAGCAGAUACCGGGCUGAGGGACGGUAUUGCAGCGGAAGAGGUACCAGGGUCAGGAUUUAGGGACAGUGGCUCAAGGUAGGAGCUUCUGGAUUGUUACGAAUGAUGCCGCAUGUGAGACAUGACUUCGAUGCCAGAUCGUUCAACUUCAUAGGCGCAGAGAGGACGAGUUGGAGCUGAAUGUGGAGGAAGGCGAGGAGUACUGACCGUCGGCAUAGGAGCAGGGGCUGCAACGGCCAACGAUGAAGGAAAGGCAUGGUGGAGGAGUUGCAUGGGCAACACAACUUCGAGCCGAGGCGGUUGUAGUGACAGUGAUUUGGUGGGAGAAGAGUUAUCCUAGGCAAGCUGAAGCCAUGUAUGCUCAAUAGUAAUGGCAAGUGUGGGAGGGACGGCUGGUGCUGGGUGGUCAGCAGGGGCUGGAGAAGGACUCGGCAGAGCAGAUGUGGGUGGUUCAGUCUGGAGCGCUGAGAAUUUGGGAACUAGUGAUAGGGCAGGGACUUCGAGAACCAAUAGUAGGGUAAGGACUUCGAGAGCUAGUGGCAAUGCAGGUACAACAAGUUUGCUGGGUGAAGUAGGAUCGGCUGUGUAGAGCAUGCCAUUGUUAAAACGAGGAGGGACGCCAUAGGGCAAAAGUCGAUGGAAAAAAUUUCAGGAUCAGGCAAAAGAAUAUCAUGCUUUUGAACAGAUAGGCUAUCCUCCAGAAAUAUUAUACUUCGGGAAGUAAGUAUAGCCUUUGUGUGUACAUCUUGAGCCUUAUAGCCUUUGCUAGUGUGACUGUAUCCCAAGAAGAUACAUUCAAUUGUGGUCAUGUCGAGUUUGAUUUUUAAUGCAUUAGAAAUUUUUGCAUAACA
Molecule: non-coding RNA, 1456 nt
Organism: Physcomitrium patens
Lineage: Eukaryota; Viridiplantae; Streptophyta; Bryopsida; Funariales; Funariaceae
Source: RefSeq, a predicted model, not a curated record